CAGGGUUUGUUUCCAGGUUAGAUCUUCCACGUUCUGCCUCAGGCCCUGUCUCCUUUCCUACCAAGUUCUUUGUCACAUCUCUAUUCGUGUCCUAGUUGCUGUGACAGUGUGAAAUUUAUCCAUGACAGUAAGAGAAGCUAGUGCAGAAGGCAGCAGGACCUCAUGGUGUACACCUUCAUGCUUUGAAGGAGCAGCAAUUGCUGACGCUGAUUUUAAGCCCUAGAUUGGACUUUUGGGUCAUGUAACAGUUCUAUCCCAUAAAACAGCCCUGGAAAGUUGUAGUAAAGAGAAGCAAAGUCUUUCCACAUCCUCUUUUGUUUUCUUCCUGCUUUAUAGAUAACUCAGAACUCCUAAAUUCUCCUUAUUCCUCACUUUCAGCAUGAAGCUGGUGAUUCUGAUUCAUUAUCUUAUCUGAACUGAUCAUGUUAUUUUUCAAAUGAAAGAAAAAACAAACCUUAUUAUUGUUAUAUCCUUGUCUCAGCAGCACUGCUGCAUUAAUUCAGCCUUCCUUCCUUCCUCUCAGGGUUAACUGCUCUCCCCAUUGGUGAAGUUAAGACUGUCUGCCAAUAUGAUCAAGUUUCAAAAACCAAACCCAACCAGAACGGAGAGCCAAGAAGUGGGCAGGGGUUUGUUUAAUGUGUUGGCACAGUAACUAAAGGUUUUGAGGUGGCUGUGAAGGGUUACACUCCCUCAAUCAGAAAAAUGCUGUCAGCUGGGAAGGAAGGGAGGAGGCCAUGGCUGUUACUGCUUCCUCCGCAGAUAAAUACAGGGGAUGCAAUCAGUUUCCAUACAGCCAGCACAACACAGCAGAGGAGCAGCAACUCCCCGAGGACCUCAGCUUGUUGGUGCAUCCGUGAAUCUGAACGUGAAAUAUUUCAGUCUCACGCGCCGCACCGACUGUUCGCGGUGAAGCACCAGGAGCGUUUUCGAGAUCUACAACAGAGGAGUACCAUGAGGAUAGAACAAAAGAAAUUAAAACACUAGAUAUGCCACAGUUGUCUUAUGCAGCUGUUAGAAAUUUAAUUAUUUUAUCUCACAGAAUAAUGUGCCCUUCAGAAAUCAUUUUGGACUAGAUGUUUCAAACCAAUGAUCUGUAGUUAAUUAUCUUUAAUAACUGUUGCACAUUAUGGUUAGAUCUAUGUUUUUGCUAAACCAAUUAAUAAUAUCUUCAUUAGUAUAAAGACAAGGUAGCUGGAUCCUUUCAUUUUUCACAUUGAAAGAGUAGAUAUUUUAAACACUGUAAUUUACUUUAGCCAUACAUUCCCGAUGAUAUGACUAAUUAAUGAAACUUCAAAGACAUAUAACUUCCAAAAGCUACUUAUUUAAAGUCAUUGUUGAGCACUUAAUGACAUUAUGUUGGGGCACUGCAGAAGCCCUCGCUGCCUGAGUCUUAGAUUUGCUAAACCUUUUUAAGCUACCGGACUGAAUGAAGCUCAAGUUAUAUUGGAAAGGAAAUGGAGCCAAUAUUUCUUCGUGUUCAUAAAAACCACCCCAGAACCUGUUGCUUACAGGAGGAUCUAUCCAAAGUUGAUGACCUCCUUUCUGCUUUUCAGUUGUGACUGGCAGUUGUGCUUAAUCAGGCAAAUCUAUGUGGAAAAUGUUAGUAGAAGAACAAAGUAAAUAUUCAAUAUUUUGUGGGUUGGCUGGUGUUAAUUUUGUUCAGAAUCAUUAGUUUUCCAAAUAUUCCUUUUAU
This is a long non-coding RNA of Meleagris gallopavo (turkey), 1693 nucleotides long. The record is from Ensembl. NCBI's taxonomy places the organism in Eukaryota, Metazoa, Chordata, Aves, Galliformes, Phasianidae.